UACGGGGGGGGCAAGCGUUGUUCGGAAUUACUGGGCGUAAAGGGCUCGCAGGCGGCCAACUAAGUCAGACGUGAAAUCCCUCGGCUUAACCGGGGAACUGCAUCUGAUACUGGAUGGCUUGAGUUCGGGAGAGGGAUGCGGAAUUCCAGGUGUAGCGGUGAAAUGCGUAGAUAUCUGGAGGAACACCGGUGGCGAAGGCGGCAUCCUGGACCGACACUGACGCUGAGGAGCGAAAGCCAGGGGAGCAAACGGG
This 253-nucleotide ribosomal RNA is filed under the name uncultured bacterium. RNAcentral's name for it is "partial 16S ribosomal RNA". It matches the Rfam family "Bacterial small subunit ribosomal RNA", at positions 524 to 776 of the family's 1533-position model. The record is from RNAcentral.